GUAAGGAAUAUUGGUCAAUGGAGGGAACUCUGAACCAGCCAUGCCGCGUGCAGGAUGACUGCCCUAUGGGUUGUAAACUGCUUUUGUCCAGGAAUAACUACCACUACGUGUAGUGGCUUGAAUGUACUGGAAGAAUAAGGAUCGGCUAACUCCGUGCCAGCAGCCGCGGUAAUACGGAGGAUCCGAGCGUUAUCCGGAUUUAUUGGGUUUAAAGGGUGCGUAGGCGGCUCAUUAAGUCAGGGGUGAAAGACGGCAGCUCAACUGUCGCAGUGCCUUUGAUACUGAUGAGCUUGAAUGUGGUUGAAGAUGGCGGAAUGAGACAAGUAGCGGUGAAAUGCAUAGAUAUGUCUCAGAACUCCGAUUGCGAAGGCAGCUGUCUAAGUCAUUAUUGACGCUGAUGCACGAAAGCGUGGGGAUCGAACAGGAUUAGAUACCCCUGUAGUCC
RNAcentral lists this ribosomal RNA (445 nucleotides) under uncultured bacterium. RNAcentral describes it as "bacterial SSU rRNA". It matches the Rfam family "Bacterial small subunit ribosomal RNA", at positions 354 to 796 of the family's 1533-position model. The record is from RNAcentral.